RNAcentral lists this ribosomal RNA (253 nucleotides) under uncultured prokaryote. RNAcentral describes it as "partial 16S ribosomal RNA". It matches the Rfam family "Bacterial small subunit ribosomal RNA", at positions 525 to 777 of the family's 1533-position model. The record is from RNAcentral.
ACGAAGGGUGCAAGCGUUAAUCGGAAUUACUGGGCGUAAAGCGUGCGUAGGCGGUUCGUUAAGUCUGUCGUGAAAGCCCUGGGCUCAACCUGGGAAUGGCGAUGGAUACUGGCGAGCUAGAGUGCGGUAGAGGUAAGUGGAAUUCCCGGUGUAGCGGUGACAUGCAUUGAUACCGGGAGGAACACCCAUGGCGAAGGCAGCUUACUGGACCUUAUCUGACGCUGAGGCGCGAAAGCGUGGGUAGCAAACAGGA